RNAcentral lists this transfer RNA (86 nucleotides) under Bacteroidales bacterium. RNAcentral describes it as "tRNA-Ser". It matches the Rfam family "tRNA". Rfam says of the family: Transfer RNA (tRNA) molecules are approximately 80 nucleotides in length. Their secondary structure includes four short double-helical elements and three loops (D, anti-codon, and T loops). Further hydrogen bonds mediate the characteristic L-shaped molecular structure. tRNAs have two regions of fundamental functional importance: the anti-codon, which is responsible for specific mRNA codon recognition, and the 3' end, to which the tRNAs corresponding amino acid is attached (by aminoacyl-tRNA synthetases). tRNAs cope with the degeneracy of the genetic code in two manners: having more than one tRNA (with a specific anti-codon) for a particular amino acid; and 'wobble' base-pairing, i.e. permitting non-standard base-pairing at the 3rd anti-codon position. RNAcentral also lists the same sequence under 2 other names. The record is from RNAcentral. Lineage: Bacteria; Pseudomonadati; Bacteroidota; Bacteroidia; Bacteroidales.
GGAAAGUUGCCGGAGUGGUCGAUCGGGGCGGUCUCGAAAACCGUUGACCCUUCGUGGGUCCGGGGGUUCGAAUCCCUCACUUUCCG